CUCUUUCUGAGACGACUCUGGUUUUAUAAGAUACUGGAUACAAGAUACUAGAUACAGAUACAAAAUCAUCUUUCUUCAACCUUUUAUGCCAAUUUUUUGUUCCCUCGAUCGAUUUACUUUCUCUAUUUCCUUCUUUCUCCUUCAUCUUCAUCAUCUUCUUCAUCAUCACAAUCCUCUACAGCAUCUACAUCAUCUUUAACAUCUCCAACAUCAUCUAAAUUAUCAUCUUUGGUGAAUAACUUGUCCCAAUUUUCAUUAUUAUCUAUCAUCUUUAUAUUGAACCACUUUUAAUGUUUACAUCCUUUUUAUUCUCUAUGUAAAAAAGUUGAUAGACUUUCGACGCUUUUUUACCUUUUUUCCUUUGUUUUUUUUGUUGUAUUUUCUUUGUUUUUUUUCAUCAUCUAGUGAUAUAAUUAAUUGGAUUCAAUCCUUUCUUGUACCGUCAUUUGAAUUGCUCAUUAUUUUGGUGUGUUAUUUUUUCCUUAUUUUAUAUUUAUAUCUUUUCAUAAUGUACAUUUGAUUCUGUAAUAGCUACUAUGUGCUCAUAAUGGUUGAAACAUGGCUUUUCCUUUUGGUACAACUAUUAUUAUAUGAGUAUUAUAAUUUAAUGGUAAUGUGAUGAUGUUGAUGAAGAGUUAACGAAUUGAAUGAAUCCAUAAUAAUAUAUGUAUUAAUAGAUUUAUUACAAUGAUAAUCAUAUGAUAAUAUACAUGGCCUAUUGAAUUGUUAAACUUUGCGCUUCAAUUGAUAAUUGGUAUUUACGGUAUGCUUGGUGCUUUUUAAUGCACAGUUAGACUUGUUAGACAUCUUAUUUUUAUCACCUCUUUUGUGAAUUACGUUUCAUUGAAAUCUUUUUUCCCUAUCCUCAAGUUAACCUUAAUAUCCCACAGUUUCAAUUAACUAAACCACAAUUAGACGAGUAAAUGAUAGAGUGAAGUCAAGUAUUAUAAAAUUGAAUCUGAGUUUGAAUCGAGUCAAAUAAAUUACAGUCAAUUUCAAGCUUAAUCACUCCAUGUUUAUUAUAUACACUGGUCUUGUUUAACCCAUGAAUGGGAAAUAGGAUACAAUUAACGAAUUAAAGAUUGCAAAAAAAAUUAAUUAAGAUUUUAAUGGUUGAAUAGUGAAAAUAAGCUAUUUUAAGAGACGCUUACGUGAAAAGUAUUGAUAUCUGUAUCAAGAUGGAUCGAGUAUUUUAUUUCAAUCCAACGGUUUAUUAAUUAGUCAUUUUCAGUUUGUGGAUAAUUAGCAGUCUUUUAUUUCAAUUUUAAUCAACUUUAUCAUUAUGUUGUUACAUUUUGUGGUUUAUUUGGACUUUGAGUUAAAGGUGUAUAAUUACUAGUUACGAGUUCUCUAUUUUUUACCAGGAAAUUUGAUCAUACGUUAUUUUUGUUCAGACUCUCAUUAGACUUUCAGAGUCAUGAAUCUCUCCAUGAAACAAGUAAAGUAAAAGUUUUUUAACAUCCUCCUUAAACAAACAAAGAGUGAUGAGAAAUGAAGAUACAAAAUGUGGAUGAUGGUGAUGAUGACUAUCAAAUGGUCCAAGUGUUUAUUCACUGUGAACUAAAAGGGAAAUGGCUAAUGUAGUUUACAGAGUCGUAUUGUUGAAACCAAUUGGAGCGGAACUUGGUUUCUUCUGUCUUAAAUCGAUUCACAGUGGUAAAGGCCAGUUCCAUAAUGAUUCCAGGAAUAUCUUCGUUUUUAUUCUUAAUUGUCUUCAUGUCUAGCUAAGAUUAAUGGUGAGCAUAAAUCAAGGCGCAAAAUACUUAUACAGGGAGUUACGUUCAAUUUACGAAGAAACGUGUUUAUACACUGACAUUGUAUUCCAAGUUUCUGUUGGUCGAAUCAAUUAUCUACUCAAAUUCGUUGUAAUGUUCAAAAUUUUGAAUUAUUUGUUAGACUUGUUCAAGUGACGACUUUUGAACAACAAGCAUCGCAUGCUAUUCAACUAUCAGAUUGAUAUGAUGAUCUGAUAAUGAUUAUGAUGGAAUGUUUAUAUUUUUCGGCAAAAAUCUAUGAUUCUAUUCUUAGUGUGAUAAUUUGUUAAAUUAUGGAUCAAAUUGGGUGAUUUUUAUUCACACAGUUUAUUUACGACUUAUGAUUGCUAUUGUGAAAAAGUUCAACAAAGCUCUGUUCAUGAUUCAAUGAAGACAACAAUUUAGAGAGUGUUUUUAUCAUAUUUUGAUUCAACAACAAAAGAUUUGUUGAUGUUUGAGGUAAUUUUUGACUGAUUGAUGUGAUUAAUUGGCAUUUCUUUUUUUCUUCAUUACAAUAAUAGUUGAUUAUGGUUAUGUCAGCUUUUCAACCUUUUUGACAAUAAACAUUUUUAUCACUCAU
Non-coding RNA from Tetranychus urticae (two-spotted spider mite), 2334 nucleotides. The record is from RefSeq and is a predicted model, not a curated record. NCBI's taxonomy places the organism in Eukaryota, Metazoa, Arthropoda, Arachnida, Trombidiformes, Tetranychidae.